GAAAGGCAUCCCUCUCACCCAUCCAGAAUCUUCCUGUGGACCCUGGUCCCAGCCUACAAUGUCUUCCUGGCCACUCAAGGGGCGGCCGAACAAAUCCUUUGGUCAGUCACCAUUCGCUUCCUUAUAAGGUGACGUGAGGACGAGGAGUUUUGCCUUAGCCGCCCCUCACUGCCUCACAAGGCAGCGAAGCUCUCCAGUUUCACACCCUCAGAACUGUGGAACGAUCUUCUGCACUCUUCCCAGGACACCCUCCACGAAGUAUAACCAACAAGAACAUCUUCCGAUGUCACCAAAUGUCCCCCAGGAGUGAAUCUCCCCGCAUUCAGUACUACUGGGGCUUAGGACCAUUUUCUUUACCUGGGCAAACCUCUGGGAAGCUGAGCCAGGCCAGACCAUGGAGGCUGACCCAAGGUCCAAGAUUGGCGAACACAGGUGAACAGUUCAGAUCUUCUACGUUGGAUUCUUAUGACAGCAGAACUCAACCAAGGCCUUGCUGUUGAUGUCAUUAGAUUCGUGGUAUUUCCAGGGCUGCGGCUUGGUCUUGCCUUCCUGCAUCCAGCACUGUGACCUCUUUCCUGUAGUUGCUUUGAGGCUCUUGUUGGAAGUGGCCAUUCUGUGCUUGACCAGUCCAUCUUCUCUCUUUGUAGCCACCAAAGCCCCAUUCUACAGCCCUCCUCACCCCCACUUAGAUUUCAAGUGCCUUGGGGCCAGGAGCUAUGUUCUAUUCCAUUGUUUGAUUACAUAAUUUCCUCCAUGGAAUAGGGGCUGAAUCUAUAUUUUAUAAAUUGAGGAAACAUGAAAUAAAGUACCAUCUUGUAGAAUCAAGAAGAGCCCUGUGUUAUCAGCACUUCGCACUUACCACCCUCUCUGCCGAUCACUCACACCUGUGUGUGCACUGACGGGCGACGGAGCUGGGGUCCUAGGAUGGGUAGGGUGUACUGGUGUGUUUUCACUCAGUGGCCUCUGGGGAUCCUGGGAAAGUCGACCUCUCAUGAGCAGAUAUUUUCCUAAGUGGAAUAAGGGAGCAUUGUCCCGAUUCUUAACAUGAUUGUGAGAGGCUUCGAAUUAUGCUUCAGAGUCUAAAAUAUAUUUAUCAGCAAAUAUGAAUCAAACUGAUGUCAUGUAGGGGUCUCUCUGUGCUGGUAAUUCCUUCCAGAGCUGCAGGAAGGUCAGUUUUUUAGGCCUUCAAGGGCUCUUUGCAUCCAUAA
Marmota flaviventris (yellow-bellied marmot) is the source of this 1208-nucleotide non-coding RNA. NCBI's taxonomy places the organism in Eukaryota, Metazoa, Chordata, Mammalia, Rodentia, Sciuridae. The record is from RefSeq and is a predicted model, not a curated record.